CCUCAUUAGCAGAUAAAUAACUACAAUCGAAGAAAAUACUCUGUUCUUGAAUUUCAAUCAUUUCUUUUACAACCCUUGUUGUAUCUUGAGUAUUGGAGGUUGUGGUUUUGCUUUUGUCGAUUAAAAUGGUUGCUUUAUCCACUUCUUUUGUAACAUAUUUGAAGAGAUAUUUGAUAGCAUUUGAAGUAUUACACCAUUCCACAUUUUUGAGGUUGUAAAUGGAGUCACACUUAAAACCCUUUUGGUAGUGGAAUCGCCGGUUUGCAGAUAUGAAUCCUUGCACUACGUUUAAUUGUAGAAUGAAUGAUUAGUUUGGAUUCGUGUUGGGUA
Molecule: long non-coding RNA, 330 nt
Organism: Arabidopsis thaliana (thale cress)
Lineage: Eukaryota; Viridiplantae; Streptophyta; Magnoliopsida; Brassicales; Brassicaceae
Product: other RNA
Exons: 1
Source: RefSeq